UCCUGCGCCGAAAAUGUCCGGGGCUGAAACACAACACCGAAGCUUAGGAACGAGAGAUCGUUGGUAGAGGAGCAUUCUUAAAGGGGCGAAGCAGUACCGGCAAGGAGCUGUGGACUUUUAAGAAGAGAGAAUGCCGGAAUGAGUAGCGAGAUGGAGGUGGGAAUCCUCCAGGCCGAAUAUCCAAGGUUUCCAGAGUAAAGCUGAUCUGCUCUGGGUAAGUCGGGGCCUAAGGCGAGGCUGAAAAGCGUAGCCGAUGGACAACAGGUUGAGAUUCCUGUACCGCGUAUCAUCAGAACUGUGGGGACACAGAAGGACAGCACAUCCCGGGAAUGGGAAGACCGGGGCAAGCAGGGUAGGAGUCAGGCAGGCAAAUCCGUCUGGCAAUCCGAAGCUGUGAUGCGGAGCGAACAGAAGUAGCGAAGUGUGCGAUUCCAGCUGUCAAGAAAAGCCGCUAUUGUGUGAUACGUGCCCGUACCGUAAACCGACACAGGUAGAUGAGGAGAGAAUCCUAAGGCCGGCGGGAGAAGCAUUGUUAAGGAACUCGGCAAAAUGACCCUGUAACUUCGGGAGAAAGGGUGCCUGGGAAACCAGGCCGCAGAGAAUAGGCUCAAGCAACUGUUUAGCAAAAACACAGGUCUAUGCAAAACCGUAAGGUGAGGUAUAUGGGCUGACGCCUGCCCGGUGCUGGAAGGUUAAGAGGAGAGGUUAGAGCAAUCGAAGCUUUGAAUUGAAGCCCCAGUAAACGGCGGCCGUAACUAUAACGGUCCUAAGGUAGCGAAAUUCCUUGUCGGGUAAGUUCCGACCCGCACGAAAGGCGUAAUGAUUUGAGCGCUGUCUCAACAAUGCACCCGGUGAAAUUGAAAUACCAGUGAAGAUGCUGGUUACCCGCGCCAGGACGGAAAGACCCCAUGGAGCUUUACUCCAGCUUGAUACUGGGAUUCGGUACUGCAUGUACAGGAUAGGUGGGAGGCUUUGAAUCAUGGACGCCAGUCUGUGAGGAGCCGCUGUUGGGAUACCACCCUUGCGGUAUUGGAUUUCUAACCUGCAGCCAUGACCUGGCUGGGGGACAAUGUCAGGCGGGGAGUUUGACUGGGGCGGUCGCCUCCGAAAGGGUAUCGGAGGCGCUCAAAGGUUCCCUCAUAAUGGUUGGAAACCAUUAGAAGAGUGCAAAGGCAUAAGGGAGCUUGACUGCGACACCGACGGGUGGAGCAGGUACGAAAGUAGGACUUAGUGAUCCGGUGGUAUGAAAGUGGGAUUGCCAUCGCUCAACGGAUAAAAGCUACCCUGGGGAUAACAGGCUUAUCACUCCCAAGAGUUCACAUCGACGGAGUGGUUUGGCACCUCGAUGUCGGCUCAUCGCAUCCUGGGGCUGUAGCAGGUCCCAAGGGUUGGGCUGUUCGCCCAUUAAAGCGGUACGCGAGCUGGGUUCAGAACGUCGUGAGACAGUUCGGUCCCUAUCCGGCGCGGGCGUAGGAUAUUUGAGAGGAGCUGUCCUUAGUACGAGAGGACCGGGAUGGACAGACCGCUGGUGUACCUGUUGGCUUACCAAGGCCAUGGCAGGGUAGCCAAGUCUGGACGGGAUAAACGCUGAAGGCAUCUAAGCGUGAAGCCCCCCUCAAGAUGAGAUAUCCCAUCGCAAGAGUAAGACCCCUUGA
Molecule: ribosomal RNA, 1655 nt
Filed under: metagenome
Description: bacterial LSU rRNA
Rfam family: Bacterial large subunit ribosomal RNA
Source: RNAcentral